This 1433-nucleotide ribosomal RNA is filed under the name uncultured bacterium. RNAcentral describes it as "bacterial SSU rRNA". It matches the Rfam family "Bacterial small subunit ribosomal RNA". The record is from RNAcentral.
AGAGUUUGAUCAUGGCUCAGAACGUACGCUGGCGGCACGCCUAACACAUGCAAGUCGAACGAAGUAGCAAUACUUAGUGGCAGACGGGUGAGUAACAUGUAGGUAUCUGCCCUUUGGCCUGGAAUAACACGAGGAAACUUGUGCUAAUACCGGAUAAGUCUUUACGGAGAAAGCUUUAUGCACCAUUGGAUGAGCCUGCACUUGAUUAGUUUGUUGGUAGGGUAAUGGCCUACCAAGACUGUGAUCAAUAGCUGAUUUGAGAGGAUGAUCAGCCACAUUGGGACUGAGACACGGCCCAAACUCCUACGGGAGGCAGCAGUGGGGAAUCUUGCACAAUGGAGGAAACUCUGAUGCAGCGAUGCCGCGUGAGUGAAGAAGGCCUUUGGGUUGUAAAGCUCUUUCGUCGGGGAAGAAAAUGACUGUACCCGAAUAAGAAGGUCCGGCUAACUUCGUGCCAGCAGCCGCGGUAAUACGAAGGGACCUAGCGUAGUUCGGAAUUACUGGGCUUAAAGAGUUCGUAGGUGGUUGAAAAAGUUGGUGGUGAAAUCCCAGAGCUUAACUCUGGAACUGCCAUCAAAACUUUUCAGCUAGAGUUUGAUAGAGGAAAGCAGAAUUUCUAGUGUAGAGGUGAAAUUCGUAGAUAUUAGAAAGAAUACCAAUUGCGAAGGCAGCUUUCUGGAUCAAUACUGACACUGAGGAACGAAAGCAUGGGUAGCGAAGAGGAUUAGAUACCCUCGUAGUCCAUGCCGUAAACGAUGUGUGUUAGACGUUGGAAAUUUAUUUUCAGUGUCGCAGCGAAAGCGAUAAACACACCGCCUGGGGAGUACGACCGCAAGGUUAAAACUCAAAUGAAUUGACGGGGACCCGCACAAGUAGUGGAGCAUGUGGUUUAAUUCGAAGAUACGCGCAGAACCUUACCAACACUUGACAUGUUCGUCGCGACUUUAAGAGAUUAAAGUUUUCGGUUCGGCCGGACGAAACACAGGUGCUGCAUGGCUGUCGUCAGCUCGUGUCGUGAGAUGUUGGGUUAAGUCCCGCAACGAGCGCAACCCUCACUUUUAGUUGCCAUCAUUUAGUUGGGCACUCUGAAAGAACUGCCAGUGAUAAGCUGGAGGAAGGUGGGGAUGACGUCAAGUCCUCAUGGCCCUUACGUGUUGGGCUACACACGUGCUACAAUGGUAUUUACAACAGGAAGCAAAACGGCGACGUUUAGCAAAUCCUUAAAAAAUACCUCAGUUCGGAUUGCACUCUGCAACUCGAGUGCAUGAAGCUGGAAUUACUAGUAAUCGUGGAUCAGCGUGCCACGGUGAAUGCGUUCCCGGGUCUUGUACACACCGCCCGUCACACCAUGGGAGUUGGUUCUACCUUAAGGCAAGGCUUUAAACCCUUGACCACGGUAUAGUCAGCGACUGGGGUGAAGUCGUAACAAGGUA